Erpetoichthys calabaricus (reedfish) is the source of this 794-nucleotide long non-coding RNA. RefSeq lists it as uncharacterized. The record is from RefSeq and is a predicted model, not a curated record. Lineage: Eukaryota; Metazoa; Chordata; Cladistia; Polypteriformes; Polypteridae. The transcript has 3 exons.
UUUGGAGGCCACAUACACCUUUUCACCAUAUUUGAGUGUAAUAAACACAAAAAUAAAGGGAAUAACCCAAAACAAAAACCAGAACUGAAAUGUUUUUAUUUCAAGAAGAAAUAUUUUCUUAAAAAACCCUUGGAGUUAAUACAAAAAUAAUGGCAAACUCAAACUAAUCAAAGAAGCUGUAUUUCUGUUAAUAAGGGAAGCAUUACACUAAGAGUAAUAAUAAACUUACACCUCUGCUCAGUUACUGUGGCCCUCUGAUUUGUUUUUUGUUCACGUUCUUUUUCUUUUUGCUUGUGCAAUCAGAUCAUGGUCCCUUUAUUCUCCUUUUCUCUGAGAACUGAAUUAUUUCAUAAUCUCUCUCUUGGCUCAGAUCUGGAUAAGGUUCUGGCAAGAGACUUCUUCCCAAAGUUGGAUCGCCCCACAGAGGCCACGACAGAUGAUGAUCAAGCAGGACUUUGAGCCCGGGCUUCUGGAAAUGUGAGGCAGUAUACCUGCAAGGCCAAGCUGGUGUCCAAAAUUUAAGGGAAUGACUCACAAGAGAAACGAACACUGGAAAAAUAUGUUAAUUUUAGUGGUGUGCAAGUCUUUCCAGUCUUCUAGAAUUUUCCCUACAUACUUGCCAGUAUUACAAGUUGAAUGGCUUGAGUUUGGAAAGAAGCGGCCUGUGCUGGCAUAGACUUGGAUCACAUUUACUGCACCACAGCACAGGCAAAGCCAAGCACAUUGUUUGAAGUCUGCUUAUAGAUAACAGGUGAGUGGACGUGUUUUAUUAACAAACAUUAUGUCUUUUUAUG